RNAcentral lists this ribosomal RNA (545 nucleotides) under uncultured Gigasporaceae. RNAcentral's name for it is "SSU rRNA". It matches the Rfam family "Eukaryotic small subunit ribosomal RNA", at positions 548 to 1098 of the family's 1831-position model. The record is from RNAcentral. Lineage: Eukaryota; Fungi; Glomeromycota; Glomeromycetes; Diversisporales; Gigasporaceae.
UUGGAGGGCAAGUCUGGUGCCAGCAGCCGCGGUAAUUCCAGCCCCAAUAGCGUAUAUUAAAGUUGUUGCAGCUAAAAAGCUCGUAGUUGAAUUUCGGGGUUCUACCGUUGGUCGGGCAAUAGUCUGUACUGGCGUGUAGAAUUUCUACCUUCUGGGGAACUAUCAUGUUAUUUAUUUAGCGUGGUAGGAAACCAGGACCUUUACCUUGAAAAAAUUAGAGUGUUCAAAGCAGGCUUACGUCUGAAUACAUUAGCAUGGAAUAAUAAAAUAGGACGGUGGUCCUGUUUUGUUGGUUUCUGAAUCACCGUAAUGAUUAAUAGGGAUAGUUGGGGGCAUUAGUAUUCAAUUGUCAGAGGUGAAAUUCUUGGAUUUAUUGAAGACUAACUUCUGCGAAAGCAUUUGCCAAGGAUGUUUUCAUUAAUCAAGAGCGAAAGUUAGGGGAUCGAAGACGAUCAGAUACCGUCGUAGUCUUAACCAUAAACUAUGCCGACUAGGGAUCGGACGAUGUUAAUUUUUCUUGACUCGUUCGGCACCUUACGGGAAAC